Long non-coding RNA from Pyrus x bretschneideri (Chinese white pear), 1112 nucleotides. RefSeq lists it as uncharacterized. The record is from RefSeq and is a predicted model, not a curated record. The transcript is spliced from 2 exons. NCBI's taxonomy places the organism in Eukaryota, Viridiplantae, Streptophyta, Magnoliopsida, Rosales, Rosaceae.
UGUUUCAAUAAGAUCAACUUGUGUUAAAUGAAAACAUCAUGUAACCUAGAAGUAGGGCUGGAAAAAAAAAACCGAAUUUCCCGAACCUGAUUCGAAAUUUCUUGAACCCGACCUGAAAAAAAAAACCGAACCCGAAAAUCCCGAACUGAAAUAGUCCGAAACUUUUGGUAUGGGAUUCGGUUUUGAUAGACCUUUAGUUCGGUAAUCCCUAACCGAACAACUAUAUUAAUAUAUAAUAUGUAUUUAAUUUAAAUUAGAAAUUAUAAACUAUCUGGACCGUUGGAUUGGUUGAGAUUUAAUCUCAACCAUCCAAUCUAAGUUAUAGGGUUUCACACUCUCACAUUUCUCACCAAAGCCUCAACCCUCAACCCUCUCAUCCCUCUCGAGUUCUCACUUCUUUGACUCUGUUCUCUCCUCUGCCUCUACAUUUCUGAGGUUAGUGGCUACGACUACUGCCAUAACGGUUGCCUUUUCAUGUCAUGCCGCUGUUGUCCUUUCUUCCCUCUCUUCUUCCUCCUCCUUUGUAUCUUUUUGAUUCCCAAAACCCCAAAAUAGCUCUUCUUUCAUCUGCGUCGUCUCUGCUCAACCCAAAUCCUCCGUUCUUCGCCACAAGCUUCGCCCACCUGCCAUUGCCGCAUCGGAGCAAAAACCAUCAUUUCAGAAUGAUGGUGCAAUUUGGCUUCGUAUGAAUUGGAUUUGGGCAUGAAGGAUCAAUCCCAAUCUAUCCCGAUAUCCCGAAAAAAAUUUUGGACAUCCCGAAGUUCGGGAAUCUUAGAAAUUCGGUUCGGUUUUGAGAUUUGAAAUCCCAUUCCGAAAUAUUUCGGUUUGGAAAUCAGGAUGAUGGUUUUGGUUUGAUAUCCCAUACCGAACCAGCCAUACCUAGAAGUAUUGGUCGUGCAUCCAAUUACUGAUUUGCGGCUCAAGUGAGACAAUCAUUCACGCACGUGCGGGUAACUAUCAGUAGUCGAUGAGUGUGGACAAACACUUGUAAGCUCUUAUGGUUUGAACAAUUAAUGAGUAAUAUAAGAAUAUAGGCAUGCGCAUAUGAACGAAAGUGUACAAGUGUAAAAAGAGAAAUCAAACAAGGACCACCACAUCUUUUUAUUUCAUGA